This 71-nucleotide transfer RNA is filed under the name Coccocrater sp. MNHN-IM-2013-41044. Its description in RNAcentral is "tRNA-Glu". The record is from RNAcentral. Lineage: Eukaryota; Metazoa; Mollusca; Gastropoda; Cocculinidae.
AUUUUUGUGGUGUAAUAAAGCACAUUAAGAUUUUCGUUCUAAAGGAGUAGUUGUUAAUAUUACCAAAAAUA